RNAcentral lists this ribosomal RNA (320 nucleotides) under uncultured eukaryote. Its description in RNAcentral is "partial 18S ribosomal RNA". It matches the Rfam family "Eukaryotic small subunit ribosomal RNA", at positions 1470 to 1796 of the family's 1831-position model. The record is from RNAcentral.
CCCCUAGAUGUUCUGGGCCGCACGCGCGCUACACUGAACAGUUCAACAAGUCUUAACCUUGGCCGAUAGGUCUGGGUAAUCUUUGAACGCUGUUCGUGAUUGGGAUAGACCUUUGCAAUUAUGGGUCUUCAACGAGGAAUUCCUAGUAAACGCAAGUCAUCAGCUUGCAUUGAUUACGUCCCUGCCCUUUGUACACACCGCCCGUCGCACCUACCGAUUGAAUGGUCCGGUGAAAUCUCGGGACGGCGGCUUGGUCGCUUGCGUCCGACCGCUGAAACUUGAUUAAACCAUAUCAUUUAGAGGAAGGUGAAGUCGUANCA